This 468-nucleotide ribosomal RNA is filed under the name uncultured bacterium. RNAcentral's name for it is "partial 16S ribosomal RNA". It matches the Rfam family "Bacterial small subunit ribosomal RNA", at positions 28 to 507 of the family's 1533-position model. The record is from RNAcentral.
GACGAACGCUGGCGGCGUGCUUAACACAUGCAAGUCGAACGGAAAGGCCCUGCUUUUGUUGGGUGCUCGAGUGGCGAACGGGUGAGUAACACGUGAGUAACCUGCCCUUGACUUUGGGAUAACUUCAGGAAACUGGGGCUAAUACCGGAUAUGAGCUCCUGCUGCAUGGUGGGGGUUGGUAAGUUUCGGCGGUUGGGGAUGUACUCGCGGCUUAUCAGCUUGUUGGUGGGGUAGUGGCUUACCAAGGCUUUGACGGGUAGCCGGCCUGAGAGGGUGACCGGCCACCUUGGGACUGCGAUACGGACCAGACUCCUACGGGAGGCAGCAGUGGGGAAUAUUGCACAAUGGGCGGAAGCCUGAUGCAGCAACGCCGCGUGCGGGAUGACGGCCUUCGGGUUGUAAACAGCUUUCGACUGUGCCGAAGCGUGAGUGACGGUAAUGGGUAAAGAAGCACCGGCUAACUACGUG